Molecule: ribosomal RNA, 444 nt
Filed under: uncultured archaeon
Lineage: Archaea
Description: bacterial SSU rRNA
Rfam family: Archaeal small subunit ribosomal RNA
Source: RNAcentral
ACUGCUCAGUAACACGUAGUCAACAUGCCCAGGGGACGUGGAUAACCUCGGGAAACUGAGGAUAAACCGCGAUAGGCCAUAAUUCCUGGAAUGGUUUAUGACUGAAACCUAUAUGGCCCCUGGAUUGGACUGCGGCCGAUCAGGCUGUUGGUGAGGUAAUGGCCCACCAAACCUGUAACCGGUACGGGCUCUGAGAGGAGAAGCCCGGAGAUGGGCACUGAGACAAGGGCCCAGGCCCUAUGGGGCGCAGCAGGCGCGAAACCUCUGCAAUAGGCGAAAGCCUGACAGGGUUACUCUGAGUGGUUCCCGCUAAGGGGAUCUUUUGGCACCUCUAAAAAUGGUGCAGAAUAAGGGGUGGGCAAGCCUGGUGUCAGCCGCCGCGGUAAUACCAGCACCCCGAGUGGUCGGGACGAUUAUUGGGCCUAAAGCAUCCGUAGCCGGUCA